UGUGGAAGCAAUUCCAUUCCCACAUAUUUAUCCAAGGAUAAAGGAAACAUGUGAACAUAAGAAGACCUCUAUGUGAAUGUGAUAUGAGAGGGGGGCAGGAAAGUGCCGGUUAGAGAAGGACAGGGUCCCAGGCCAGGGCUCCACCCUAGGGGUAGUGUCCACGGACUUAAGUGAAACCAGGCGCUCCUGUUUUCAUGCCCACAUGCUUCAUUUUGCACCUGGCCCGCCUGUGUGAUCCUGUGCCCAUUUAAACCCAUGUGAUGAUCCACUCACAUGGCAGGUCUUUUCAAAGAGGGACAACCACUCUAUAGGGUAGCAAGAUCAGUCACACCAUUCAUUAAAGAAGACUUUCCUCCCAGGGCUCAAGAAGCGUGUAAACUCUACCAAAAGACGCAUCAUUUACCUUGAUAGGACUAUAAUUGUAACUCAUUGAUUCCACAAAGAGCUACUGAGCACUUUCAAAGUGCCAGCCACUGUUUCAUGCACUGGCAUUCCAGUGGUAAACAAGAAAAAAAGAUAGGGAAGGACAUUUAUCCUCAAGAAGCAAAAAUGCUGGUCUGGCUCAGUUUAUGCAAGUGCUGCCAAGAGUGAGCCGGUGCUUUUCUAGCAUCAUCUCUCCUUCUUAUAUGUUUUUUGUCUAUAAUAAAAAUAACCUUAAUAUUUUAUAAUAAUGGGAACAAAGUUUUUUAAAAGAAAAAUAGGAUUUCAAAGAAUCAAAAGGAAGAUGUUAGAAUCACCUGUAUUCCCACUUCUCCGAGGUAAUUGCUGUUAGUAUUCUGGGCAAGAUCUUGCUAUGUUUCCCAGGCUGGACUUCAACUCCUGGGCUCAAGUGAUCCUCCUGUCUCGGCCUCCCAAGUACCUGGGACUACAGAUGUGCACCGCUUAGUCAAUUUUUCUUUAUUUUUAUUAAAGUAUAAUUGGCUUAUAUUAAAUUGCAUAUAUUAACAUGUAAUAUUUAAUAAAUCUUGAUAUUUAUGCACCCAUUAAUCUAUCACACUAUUAAAUAUAUGUGCAAUGUAUUUUUCUCUCCUCAAAUUUUUCUUGUGUUUUUUUUUAAUUCUUUCCUUCUUCCCCUCCCUGUCCAACACUCCUUCUGCCUCCAGUUCUCUAGUAACUAUUAAUCUGAUUUCUGUCAUUACAUAUCAGUUGUACUAUUUAGAAUUUUAUAUAACUGGAAUUGUCAACUAUGUACUCUUAUUUUUGCCUGGUUUCUUUCCCAAGAAUAAUGAAGAUUCAUCUAUGCUGUUACACAUAUCAACAGUUCUCUUAUCAUUGCAGUGUAGUAUUUCAGUAUAUAGAUUACUAUUCAUAUGCUGAUGGUAUUUUAGUGGUUUGGAGGUGUUUUAUAUAAAGCUUCCAUAAAUAUUUGUGUACAAUUUUUUUGUGUGGACACAUGCUUUCAUUUCUCUUAGCAGUAACAAGGUUAGAAUAUAUGGCAGGUAUAUGUUUAACUUUUAAAUAAACUAACAAAGUGUUUUAUUGGGGAACCUGCCCCGAUAGCUACAUAGGUUCUUUUCUAUUUUCCCUAAGCAUCGGCCAGUUUGAGAAAUAAGGGGACAGAGUACAAAAGAGAGAAAUUUUAAAGCUGGGCUUCUGGGGGAGACAUCACAUGUCGGUAGGUUCUGUGAUGCCCCACAAGCCGCAAAACCAGCAAGUUUUUAUUAGGGACUUUCAAAAGGGGAGGGAGUGUACGAAUAGGGUGUGGGUCACAAAGAUCACGUACUUCACAAGGUAAUAGAAUAUCACAAGGCAAAUUGAGGCAGGGUGAGAUCACAGGACCACAGGACCAGGGCAAAAUUAAAAUUGCUAAUGAAUUUUCGGGCACCAUUGUCAUUGAUAACAUCUUAUCAGGAGACAGGGUUUUGAGAGCAACCCGUCUGACCAAAAUUUUUUAGGCGGGAAUUUCCUCUUCCUAAUAAGCCUGGAAGGACUAUGGGAGACUGGGGUUUAUUUCAUCCCUACUGUCUUGACCAUAGAAGAUGGCCACACCCAAGGGGGCCAUUUAUAGACCCACCCUCAGGGGCGUAUUCUCUUUCUCAGGGAUGUUCCUUGCUGAGAAAAAUAAUUCAGCAAUAUUUCUCCCAUUUGCUUUUGAAAGAAGAGAAAUAUGGCUCUGUUCCACCUGGCUCACAGAUGGUCAGAGUUUAAGGUUAUCUCUCUUAUUCUCUGAACAAUUGCCGUUAUCCUGUUCUUUUUUCAAGGUGCCCAGAUUUCAUAUUGUUCAAACACACAUGCUUUACAAUUUGGGCAGUUAACACAAUUAUCACAGGGUCCUGAGGUGACAUACUUCCUCCUCAGCUGGCAGGAUUAAGAGAUUAAAGUAAAGACAGGUCUAGGAAAUCACAAGGGUAUUGACUGGGGAAGUGAUAAGUGUCCAUGAAAUCUUCACAAUUUAUGUUUAGAGAUUAUGGCAAAGACAGGCAUAAGAAAUUAUAAAAGUAUUAAUUUGGGGAUCUAACAAAUGUCCAUGAAAUCUUCACAAUCCACGUUCUUCUGCCAUGGCUUUAGCCAGUCCCUCUGUUUGGGGUCCCUGACUUCCCGCAACAGAGUUUUCCAAAAUACUGGUAUCAUUUUAUAUUCCCGUCAUCAGUAUUUAACAGUUACAGGUCAAAUCCUGGCCAACACUUGGUAUUGUCAGGCUUCUUAGCUUUUUAAAAUGUAUUAAGUAUGUAGUCACUUAAUUGCAAAAGACCAUUUUGCUUUUAAUUUUUUCCCUAAUAAAUUAUAAUGUUGAUUAUCCUUUCAUGGUCUUAUUUGCCAUCCAUAUGUCUUAUUGAUAAAAUGUCUGCUUACAUUCAUUACAAAUUUAUACUAGGAUUUCAACAUUUUUAAAUCGUGGUAAAAUACACAUAAAUAAUAUAUCACUUUAACUAUUUUUAAGUGUACAGUAUACAGUGUUAAGUAUAGCCACAUGGUUGGGUAAUCUUUAUAACUUUUUCUUUUUGCAAAACUGAAACUCUAUACCCAUUAAAUAAACCUUAUUUUUUCCUCUCGUCAGCCCUCACAAUCACCAUGCUACUUUCUGUCUCUUUGAAUGUUACUACUCUGGAUACUUCAUAUAAGGGAAUCAUGUUGUAUUUGUCUUUCUGUUAUUGGCUUAUUUCACUUAGUAUAAUGUCCUCAAGGUUCAUCCAUAUUGUAAUACAUGUCAAAAUUUCCUUUAUUUUUAAGGCUGAAUAAUAUUUUGCACACACACACAUGCACGCACACACUGUUUUGUUCAUACAUUCAACCAUUGAUGGAUAUUUGGGUUUUUUCAACCUUUUGGAUACUGUGAAUAAUCCUGUUAUGAACAAAGGAGUACUAUUAAUAUAUUUUAAGUUCUUUUGGAAAUAUAUCUAGGAGUGAAAUUGCUGGAUUA
Molecule: long non-coding RNA, 3361 nt
Filed under: Homo sapiens (human)
Lineage: Eukaryota; Metazoa; Chordata; Mammalia; Primates; Hominidae
Description: HSALNT0114380
Source: RNAcentral